UCCCUGGGGGCUCAGAUGGUAAAGAAUCUGCCUGCAGUGCAGGAGACCCAGGUUCGAUCCCUGGGUCGGGAA
RNAcentral lists this transfer RNA (72 nucleotides) under Muntiacus reevesi (Reeves' muntjac). It matches the Rfam family "tRNA". From Rfam's summary of the family: Transfer RNA (tRNA) molecules are approximately 80 nucleotides in length. RNAcentral also lists the same sequence under 3 other names. The record is from Rfam by way of RNAcentral. Lineage: Eukaryota; Metazoa; Chordata; Mammalia; Artiodactyla; Cervidae.